CACCGCGGUGGUCCCGCUCAGGGUGGCCCCGGCGUCUGGAGUGCGCUUCAGAGCCACGGCCCCCGAGACCCGAACCAACCGCAAUCGAGCCGGAGACAGACCGUGUUGAGGGAGUGACCUUUCUACGGGAAGUGGCUCGUUCGGUGAUCUCAGGAGGCCGAGUUUCAGCUUCGGCAGAAACGUUAAUACUGGGGUGGUGGCCGCAGCACGGACGCCCCCUUGUGCGACCAAGAUACGAUCAAGGCCUGUCCUGCCAUCGGAAACAACUCUGUCCUUGCAGAGAUGCCUGCCACUGGAAACAACUGGAAACACUGGCUAUUUACCAAGGGUUUGACUGGAAUGUCAUAUUUGAGCGAGAGGUGCAUAAACUCAGAUAUGACCAUACAGCUUUCGGGAACUGCUUGGAUAAGUCGGUCUGGAGCCUUGUUCAUAGGGUUCUUGGCAGCCUUACCAGAGAGAGACAGAGCAUGAACGGGGGAG
This is a long non-coding RNA of Lynx canadensis (Canada lynx), 480 nucleotides long. RefSeq lists it as uncharacterized. NCBI's taxonomy places the organism in Eukaryota, Metazoa, Chordata, Mammalia, Carnivora, Felidae. The transcript is spliced from 3 exons. The record is from RefSeq and is a predicted model, not a curated record.